RNAcentral lists this ribosomal RNA (301 nucleotides) under uncultured bacterium. Its description in RNAcentral is "partial 16S ribosomal RNA". It matches the Rfam family "Bacterial small subunit ribosomal RNA", at positions 509 to 807 of the family's 1533-position model. The record is from RNAcentral.
CAGUCGCCGCGGGAAUACGUAGGUGGCAAGCGUUGUCCGGAAUUAUUGGGCGUAAAGGGCUCGCAGGCGGUUUCUUAAGUCUGAUGUGAAAGCCCCCGGCUCAACCGGGGAGGGUCAUUGGAGACUGGGAAACUUGAGUGCAGAAGAGGAGAGUGGAAUUCCACGUGUAGCGGUGAAAUGCGUAGAGAUGUGGAGGAACACCAGUGGCGAAGGCGACUCUCUGGUCUGUAACUGACGCUGAGGAGCGAAAGCGUGGGGAGCGAACAGGAUUAGAUACCCCCGUAGUCCCUGUCUCUUAUAC